UACGUAGGGAGCGAGCGUUGUCCGGAAUUACUGGGCGUAAAGGGCGCGUAGGCGGGAACUUAGGUUAGAUGUGAAAACUCCGGGCUUAACCUGGAGACUGCAUUUAAAACUGGGUUUCUUGAGGGCAGGAGAGGAAAGUGGAAUUCCUAGUGUAGCGGUGAAAUGCGUAGAUAUUAGGAGGAACACCAGUGGCGAAGGCGACUUUCUGGACUGUACCUGACGCUGAGGCGCGAAAGCAUGGGGAGCGAACAGG
This 253-nucleotide ribosomal RNA is filed under the name uncultured bacterium. Its description in RNAcentral is "partial 16S ribosomal RNA". It matches the Rfam family "Bacterial small subunit ribosomal RNA", at positions 524 to 776 of the family's 1533-position model. The record is from RNAcentral.